GACGAACGCUGGCGGCGUGCCUAAUACAUGCCAGUCGAACGAGAGCGACCGGUGCUUGCACUGGUCAAUCUAGUGGCGAACGGGUGAGUAACACGUGGGUAACCUGCCCAUCAGAGGGGGAUAACAUCCGGAAACGGAUGCUAAAACCGCAUAGGUCUUCGAGCCGCAUGGCUUGAAGAGGAAAAGAGGCGCAAGCUUCUGCUGAUGGAUGGACCCGCGGUGCAUUAGCUAGUUGGUGAGGUAACGGCUCACCAAGGCCGUGAUGCAUAGCCGACCUGAGAGGGUGAUAGGCCACUUUGGGACUGAGACACGGCCCAAACGCCUACGGGAGGCAGCAAUAGGGAAUCGUCCGCAAUGGACGCAAGUCUGACGGAGCAACGCCGCGUGAGUGAAGAAGGUUUUCGGAUCGUAAAACUCUGUUGUUAGAGAAGAACAAGUGCUAGAGUAACUGUUAGCGCCUUGACGGUAUCUAACCAGAAAGCCACGGCUAACUACGUG
RNAcentral lists this ribosomal RNA (498 nucleotides) under uncultured bacterium. Its description in RNAcentral is "partial 16S ribosomal RNA". It matches the Rfam family "Bacterial small subunit ribosomal RNA", at positions 28 to 507 of the family's 1533-position model. The record is from RNAcentral.